UCAUAUGCUUGUCUCAAAGAUUAAGCCAUGCAUGUCUAAGUACGUGCCUAAGAAAGGUGAAACCGCGAAUGGCUCAUUAAAUCAGUUAUGGUUCCUUAGAUCGUACCUUACUACUUGGAUAACUGUGGUAAUUCUAGAGCUAAUACAUGCAGCAGAGCUCCGACCUUCGGGGACGAGCGCUUUUAUUAGACCAAGACCAAUCGGACCUCGGUCCGAAGCUCAUGGUGACUCUGGAUAACUUUGGGCUGAUCGCACGGUCUCGUACCGGCGACGCAUCUUUCAAGUGUCUGCCUUAUCAACUUUCGAUGGUAGGUUAUGCGCCUACCAUGGUCGUAACGGGUAACGGGGAAUCAGGGUUCGAUUCCGGAGAGGGAGCCUGAGAAACGGCUACCACAUCCAAGGAAGGCAGCAGGCGCGCAAAUUACCCACUCCCGGCACGGGGAGGUAGUGACGAAAAAUAACAAUACGGGACUCUAUUGAGGCCCCGUAAUUGGAAUGAGUACACUCUAAAUCCUUUAACGAGGAUCUAUUGGAGGGCAAGUCUGGUGCCAGCAGCCGCGGUAAUUCCAGCUCCAAUAGCGUAUAUUAAAGUUGUUGCGGUUAAAAAGCUCGUAGUUGGAUCUCAGUUCCAGACGGGUGGUCCACCCCUGGUGGCUACUGCCUGGCCUGAACAAAUCCAGCCGGUUUUCCUUGAUGCUCUUCACCGAGUGUCUUGGGUGACCGGCACGUUUACUUUGAAAAAAUUAGAGUGCUCAAAGCAGGCGUGACGCCUGAAUAAUGGUGCAUGGAAUAAUGGAAUAGGACCUCGGUUCUAUUUUGUUGGUUUUCGGAACACGAGGUAAUGAUUAAGAGGGACAGACGGGGGCAUUCGUAUUGCGACGCUAGAGGUGAAAUUCUUGGACCGUCGCAAGACGAACUACU
RNAcentral lists this ribosomal RNA (921 nucleotides) under Schizomida sp. MCZ IZ-79707 106366. RNAcentral's name for it is "SSU rRNA". It matches the Rfam family "Eukaryotic small subunit ribosomal RNA", at positions 24 to 944 of the family's 1831-position model. The record is from RNAcentral. Lineage: Eukaryota; Metazoa; Arthropoda; Arachnida; Schizomida.